Populus trichocarpa (black cottonwood) is the source of this 1209-nucleotide long non-coding RNA. RefSeq lists it as uncharacterized. Lineage: Eukaryota; Viridiplantae; Streptophyta; Magnoliopsida; Malpighiales; Salicaceae. The transcript has 2 exons. The record is from RefSeq and is a predicted model, not a curated record.
UGCAAUAGUGCAACACAAAGGCGACGCUUGAGAACCCCAAUAGCAAGCUACUGUCACGGGCCCUCCCCCUUGAAAAAUUAAUUUAAUAUCGUGUGGACCAUUGGUCCACGUAUCAGAUAUUAAACUGAUAAGAACAGAUACUACACUUGAUCUUAGCCAAAAGGCCGAGAAAGGUAUGCCUGGUUAAAUCUCAUGCUUCUUUUUUUAUACUGUGCGUCUACACUCUUUUGAGCAAUACGUUUCGAUGUGGGAUAGUGAAACCACAAAAACAACAGAGGUGUUAGGCAGCAGCCUCCCUCCAUGAGGAUAUGAAGGCACUGGUUUCUCAAAUCAAAACCAAGGACGGUGGUUGUUAUCUUUUGAUUGCAAGGGUUGCUCUGCAUGAUUUGUAUCUAGAGUCCAAUUGAUCUGGCCACAACCCCUUGUCUCGAUAUGCUCUCUAUUCUAGUUUUUGACAAGAUUUUCAAAUGGAGAAAGAACUGUUACAAAACCAUAGCAAAAGUAAUCAAACACAAAGCAACUAUAAUUUUCUUUCUGACCAAAGGAGGAAAAGGGUUUCAUGCCUCAAUUUUUUUCGCCUCUUUUAAUCGAUAUUUACAAUCUUUUCUAUACAAAAUGUGCUCUUGUUUGUUGAUGAAAAGUGGCAGGAGAAUAAUUUGAAUUUGCAGCUUAAAAUCUAAUCUGACUCUUUAAAAUCUAUUCAGUUUCGUUUUAUCUCUUGAAUGUCCUGGGCUAGGCUUAUGAUAACACGAGUACAAGUCGACCAUGGAAACCACCUUUUUAUCCAUCUCAAGGGCAUAACGAAAGCUCAUCCCAAACAUUGUAUGUUUUGGAAGUGGCCAUGCCCCACUCUUUAUUUCACUGAAACCCCAAUAUUAUUUUUGCUUAUGCAUGAAUGUUGGUUUCUGUUGGUUUUUUUGCCUUGUAUUUACCUUGUAGCUGUCACCUUCUGAAUUUCUUUGCAGCCAUGCUUGCAAGUUUCAACUUUGAGAGUUAAGAGUGAAUUAGAUUUAGAUUACCCCUGAAAACUUCAGAAAUCAAUCGCAGCAUCUAUUUAUUUACUACAGUACCGUGUAGAAGAAACCAUAUUGGAAUUACACAACAAAGACGAAAUCCCUACAGAAAUAAAGGUCUAUGACAGCCUUUACCAUCAUUUCAAUGAUCCAUAACAAUCACAGAACUACAUUCCAAGUCAAUUCCGAUUUCUGA